GUACCUACGGGAGGCAGCAGUGAGGAAUAUUGGUCAAUGGGCGCGAGCCUGAACCAGCCAAGUCGCGUGAGGGAAGACGGUCCUAUGGAUUGUAAACCUCUUUUGUCGGGGAGCAAAAAGGCCUCGUGAGGUCACAAGUGAGAGUACCCGAAGAAAAAGCAUCGGCUAACUCCGUGCCAGCAGCCGCGGUAAUACGGAGGAUGCGAGCGUUAUCCGGAUUUAUUGGGUUUAAGGGGAGCGUAGAUGGGUUGUUAAGUCAGUUGUGAAAGUUUGCGGCUCAACCGUAAAAUUGCAAUUGAUACUGG
This 305-nucleotide ribosomal RNA is filed under the name uncultured bacterium. RNAcentral describes it as "bacterial SSU rRNA". It matches the Rfam family "Bacterial small subunit ribosomal RNA", at positions 335 to 636 of the family's 1533-position model. The record is from RNAcentral.